CCUACGGGAGGCAGCAGUGGGGAAUAUUGCACAAUGGGGGAAACCCUGAUGCAGCAACGCCGCGUGAGUGAAGAAGUAUUUCGGUAUGUAAAGCUCUAUCAGCAGGGAAGAAAAUGACAGUACCUGACUAAGAAGCCCCGGCUAACUACGUGCCAGCAGCCGCGGGAAUACGUAGGGGGCAAGCGUUAUCCGGAUUUACUGGGUGUAAAGGGAGCGUAGACGGCUGCGCAAGUCAGAAGGGAAAGCCCGGGGCUCAACCGCGGGACUGCUUUUGAAACUGUGUAGCUAGAGUGCAGGAGAGGUAAGUGGAAUUCCUAGUGUAGCGGUGAAAUGCGUAGAUAUUAGGAGGAACACCGGUGGCGAAGGCGGCUUACUGGACUGUAACUGACGUUGAGGCUCGAAAGCGUGGGGAGCAAACAGGAUUAGAUACCCGGGUAGUC
RNAcentral lists this ribosomal RNA (440 nucleotides) under uncultured bacterium. RNAcentral describes it as "partial 16S ribosomal RNA". It matches the Rfam family "Bacterial small subunit ribosomal RNA", at positions 338 to 795 of the family's 1533-position model. The record is from RNAcentral.